Onychostoma macrolepis is the source of this 497-nucleotide long non-coding RNA. RefSeq lists it as uncharacterized. Lineage: Eukaryota; Metazoa; Chordata; Actinopteri; Cypriniformes; Cyprinidae. The record is from RefSeq and is a predicted model, not a curated record. The transcript is spliced from 4 exons.
UACACAAGUAUCGCUGUGCGUUGCUUUGAGACGCUUCGACCAAGUUUUUUCAGCUUUUGAGUUAUUUUGGAACUAUUUUCACUCAAUAAUACAAUUACAGAAAUAGUAACUGGUAAUACUGUGUCUAAAAUGUGAGUUACGUAAUAUUACAUUCUUGUUUAUUUAAUUGUUAAAAGCAAUGUCCAGUUUUAUGUGAGGGGUGUGGGGAAUGAACGUCUUGGCAGUCAACAGACUCGCUUGCCUUCAGGAGAACUUCCUCUGUUGGUUCAGACUGAUUGGAGAACAGAGUUGAAAAGCACAGCAGAGCCUCUCUGUGUUCCCUACUAAUGGGUCUGUAUACAUGACAACAGAUGCAAAAGUUUGCACAGGUUCAGGAGGCCUGAAGGAUGACAUACCCUGAGAUGAAGUGUGCAGAAGAAGGACCUCCUUUCUGUAUCCCAUUAACAUCACCUCAUAAAAUGCUCCUACACGACAUGAGCAAACUGACACCCAUGUGU